GAAGCUUGGGACCUUGCUCUCUUUUAUCAGCCUGGGGCGUGUUACCUGGCUGAACAUGGAAUCCCUCACCAAGGCGACGAUCCGUAACUGGUCUGAGAGGAUGAUCAGUCACACUGGAACUGAGACACGGUCCAGACUCCUACGGGAGGCAGCAGUGGGGAAUAUUGGACAAUGGGCGAAAGCCUGAUCCAGCCAUGCCGCGUGUGUGAAGAAGGUCUUCGGAUUGUAAAGCACUUUAAGUUGGGAGGAAGGGCAGUACGUUAAUACCUUGCUGUUUUGACGUUACCGACAGAAUAAGCACCGGCUAACUCUGUGCCAGCGGCCGCGGUAAUACAGAGGGUGCAAGCGUUAAUCGGAAUUACUGGGCGUAAAGCGCGCGUAGGUGGUUUGUUAAGUUGCAUGUGAAAGCCCUGUGCUCAACCUGUUAACUGCAUCCAAAACUGGCAAGCUAGAGUACGGUAGAGGGUGGCGGAAUUUCCUGUGUAGCGUUGAAAUGCGUAGAUAUAGGAAGGAACACCAGUGCCAAAGGCGA
RNAcentral lists this ribosomal RNA (532 nucleotides) under Pseudomonas sp. 15(2010). Its description in RNAcentral is "bacterial SSU rRNA". It matches the Rfam family "Bacterial small subunit ribosomal RNA", at positions 202 to 725 of the family's 1533-position model. The record is from RNAcentral. Lineage: Bacteria; Pseudomonadati; Pseudomonadota; Gammaproteobacteria; Pseudomonadales; Pseudomonadaceae.